Molecule: long non-coding RNA, 151 nt
Organism: Sander lucioperca (pikeperch)
Lineage: Eukaryota; Metazoa; Chordata; Actinopteri; Perciformes; Percidae
Exons: 3
Source: RefSeq, a predicted model, not a curated record
CAUCAGAGACAGACUCAACACAUGGAAACGGAAGAUGUGCAGCAGCUGUUGGUGGUUAAACAAGAGGUUCCCCCUGAGCAGCAGGAGUGUAGCUCCAGUAUGGACCAGGAGGAGCCACACCCCCCCCCACACAUUAAAGAGGAACAGGAGG